RNAcentral lists this long non-coding RNA (404 nucleotides) under Homo sapiens (human). RNAcentral describes it as "non-protein coding LINC01895:14". Lineage: Eukaryota; Metazoa; Chordata; Mammalia; Primates; Hominidae. The record is from RNAcentral.
CAUGCGCGGAGCUCACUAGUGGCAGAGCCCACGACACCCGCUCCUCUCCAGCUCUCUCUUUAGGGACAGAGAGGAAUCUACUUACCAAGAUGGCAGGAGCAAGUGGUUAUCAGAGCCUGCUCUCUAGAAAUACAAUUAAACAAGCAGCCCCUGUCUCUUUUUCUCCACUUUCAGUCUUGGGGAAGGGAUUGGAAUAUGUGAGCAGGAGAGAAGGGUCAUGUUGGAGCAGCCAGGACUCAGAGCCUUUCCGCAGACUGAGUCUGGAUCCUUUCCUUCAGCCUCCAGGAAUACUCCCGGCUCCACACCCAGAAUGGUAAUCCAGGCAAGGGCUCUGGUGUGUGGCCACACUGCCACCUAUUACCUGCGGGUCCAAAUGCAGUGACUCAACUUCUCUGUGCCUCUCU